GCUGAAAGGAAGGACUAUGGAGCGUCAGG
RNAcentral lists this non-coding RNA (29 nucleotides) under Cricetulus griseus (Chinese hamster). Lineage: Eukaryota; Metazoa; Chordata; Mammalia; Rodentia; Cricetidae. The record is from RNAcentral.